This 90-nucleotide non-coding RNA is filed under the name pig gut metagenome. RNAcentral's name for it is "TPP riboswitch (THI element)". It matches the Rfam family "TPP riboswitch aptamer (THI element)", at positions 11 to 88 of the family's 105-position model. From Rfam's summary of the family: Vitamin B(1) in its active form thiamin pyrophosphate (TPP) is an essential coenzyme that is synthesised by coupling of pyrimidine and thiazole moieties in bacteria. The previously detected thiamin-regulatory element, thi box was extended, resulting in a new, highly conserved RNA secondary structure, the THI element, which is widely distributed in eubacteria and also occurs in some archaea. The record is from RNAcentral.
UACAAGGGGAGCUUGUACACAGGCUGAGAGGAAACGAAUUGACGUUUCGACCCGUUGACCUGAUUCGGAUAAUGCCGACGUAGGGAGAUG